This 292-nucleotide ribosomal RNA is filed under the name uncultured bacterium. RNAcentral describes it as "partial 16S ribosomal RNA". It matches the Rfam family "Bacterial small subunit ribosomal RNA", at positions 505 to 796 of the family's 1533-position model. The record is from RNAcentral.
GUGUCAGCCGCCGCGGUAAUACGGAGGGUGCGAGCGUUAAUCGGAAUUACUGGGCGUAAAGCGCGCGUAGGCGGUUUGUUAAGUCAGCUGUGAAAGCCCCGGGCUCAACCUGGGAACUGCAGUUGAUACUGUCCGACUAGAGUACGAGAGAGGGAGGUAGAAUUCCAUGUGUAGCGGUGAAAUGCGUAGAUAUAUGGAGGAAUACCAGUGGCGAAGGCGGCCUCCUGGCUCGAUACUGACGCUGAGGUGCGAAAGCGUGGGGAUCAAACAGGAUUAGAUACCCUGGUAGUCC